Molecule: ribosomal RNA, 253 nt
Filed under: Alphaproteobacteria bacterium
Lineage: Bacteria; Pseudomonadati; Pseudomonadota; Alphaproteobacteria
Description: partial 16S ribosomal RNA
Rfam family: Bacterial small subunit ribosomal RNA
Source: RNAcentral
CCGUCUCAGUUCAGAUUGCACUCUGCAACUCGAGUGCAUGAAGUUGGAAUCGCUAGUAAUCGCUAAUCAGCAGGUAGCGGUGAAUACGUUCCCGGGCCUUGUACACACCGCCCGUCAAGCCAUGGAAGUUGGUUUCACCUUAAGUCGGUGCGCAAACCCGCAAGGGAUGCAGCCGACCACGGUGGGGUCAAUGACUGGGGCUAAGUCGUAACAAGGUAGCCGUAGGGGAACCUGCGGCUGGAUCACCUCCUUU